This 622-nucleotide long non-coding RNA is filed under the name Homo sapiens (human). RNAcentral's name for it is "novel transcript, antisense to CD48". The record is from RNAcentral. Lineage: Eukaryota; Metazoa; Chordata; Mammalia; Primates; Hominidae.
GCAUGCAGGUGAGAAGGGAAGAUACAUGUAAUCUGCAUGUCUGCCACCAUUCCUUGUUACCCUUUUUCAUAUCCCAUGAGCACAGCACUCCAGCGGACCUACCCAAAAUAUGUGGGAGUUCAGUGAAACUCAAACAGCAUGCUUCUGGUCAGCCUAUACAGUCUCUGUCCUGGUGAGGAGCAUGAUCACCAACAGGCAAGAUCUUCUGGCCUUGAAGUUUCGCUUGAGUUAAAAGAGCUCAUCUCAGGACUUUCUGAAUUUUCAGCCCAUAUGACAUGGAAGAAGAGUUAGAAGGGGAAUCUGACUGCUUGGAUCAGGGACUGUCUGGCUGGUGGAACUUGAAUAGAUGUACAGUGCGCCACUCUGAGGAUCAAGUCUGACCCUGCCUUUAAAUUUGGAUUCAAAGUACUUAGAUUUUCUGGAAUCCCAUUCUACAAUCUUCUGGUCGAAAGUAUAAAACCAGCAUUGGCCAGCUUGAGAAAUAAAGGGACAGAGUACAAAAGAGAGAAAUUUUAAAGCUGAGCAUCUGGGGGAGACAUCACAUGUCGUCUGCAGGUGUACCCAACAGCUCCGAAGAGACAGUGACAUCGAGAACGGGCCAUGAUGACGAUGGCGGUUUUGU